GACGAACGCUGGCGGCGUGCUUAACACAUGCAAGUCGAACGGAAAGGCCCUGCUGCUGUGGGGUGCUCGAGUGGCGAACGGGCGAGUAACACGUGAGUAACCUGCCCUUGACUUUGGGAUAACUUCAGGAAACUGGGGCUAAUACAGGACAGGAGCUCCUGCUGCAUGGUGGGGGUUGGAAAGUUUCGGCGGCUGGGGAUGGGCACGCGGCAUAUCAGCUUGUUGGUGGGGUAGUGGCUUACCAAGGCUUUGACGGGUAGCCAGCCUGAGAGGGUGACCGGCCACAGUCGGCCUGGGGUGCCGCCCGGACGCCAACUGGAGGCAGCGGUGGGAGAUUUUCCACGAUGGGCGGCAUCCUGGUGCAGGAACGCCGCGUUGUGAAUGACGGCUUUCCGGUUGUAAACCGCUUUCUCCUGUUACGGAGCGUGAUUGACGGUAACGGGUAAAAAAGCCCCGGCUAACUACGUG
RNAcentral lists this ribosomal RNA (468 nucleotides) under uncultured bacterium. Its description in RNAcentral is "partial 16S ribosomal RNA". It matches the Rfam family "Bacterial small subunit ribosomal RNA", at positions 28 to 507 of the family's 1533-position model. The record is from RNAcentral.